This 253-nucleotide ribosomal RNA is filed under the name uncultured bacterium. Its description in RNAcentral is "partial 16S ribosomal RNA". It matches the Rfam family "Bacterial small subunit ribosomal RNA", at positions 524 to 776 of the family's 1533-position model. The record is from RNAcentral.
UACGUAGGUGGCAAGCGUUGUCCGGAUUUACUGGGCGUAAAGCGUGCGCAGGCGGUUCGCCAAGUCAGGUGUGAAAUCCCCGGGCUUAACCUGGGAAUUGCGCUUGAAACUAGCGGGCUUGAGUGUGGCAGAGGGAGGUGGAAUUCCACGUGUAGCGGUGAAAUGCGUAGAGAUGUGGAGGAACACCGAUGGCGAAGGCAGCCUCCUGGGCCAACACUGACGCUCAUGCACGAAAGCGUGGGGAGCAAACAGG